GAUGAACGCUAGCGGCAGGCUUAACACAUGCAAGUCGAGGGGUAGAGGAAGCUUGCUUCCUUGAGACCGGCGCACGGGUGCGUAACGCGUAUACAAUCUACCUUUUACAGAGGGAUAGCCCCAGAGAAAUUUGGAUUAAUACCUCAUAGUAUUUUCGGAUCGCAUGAUUUGAUUAUUAAAGUUCCAACGGUAAAGAUGAGUAUGCGUCCCAUUAGCUAGAUGGUAAGGUAACGGCUUACCAUGGCAAUGAUGGGUAGGGGUCCUGAGAGGGAGAUCCCCCCACACUGGUACUGAGACACGGACCAGACUCCUACGGGAGGCAGCAGUGAGGAAUAUUGGACAAUGGGCGCAAGCCUGAUCCAGCCAUGCCGCGUGCAGGAUGACGGUCCUAUGGAUUGUAAACUGCUUUUGUACAGGAAGAAACACUCCCUCGUGAGGGAGCUUGACGGUACUGUAAGAAUAAGGAUCGGCUAAACUCCGUGCCAGCAG
Molecule: ribosomal RNA, 489 nt
Filed under: uncultured bacterium
Lineage: Bacteria
Description: bacterial SSU rRNA
Rfam family: Bacterial small subunit ribosomal RNA
Source: RNAcentral